RNAcentral lists this ribosomal RNA (2903 nucleotides) under Klebsiella aerogenes UCI 28. RNAcentral's name for it is "bacterial LSU rRNA". It matches the Rfam family "Bacterial large subunit ribosomal RNA". Lineage: Bacteria; Pseudomonadati; Pseudomonadota; Gammaproteobacteria; Enterobacterales; Enterobacteriaceae. RNAcentral also lists the same sequence under 1 other name. The record is from RNAcentral.
UUAAGCGACUAAGCGUACACGGUGGAUGCCCUGGCAGUCAGAGGCGAUGAAGGACGUGCUAAUCUGCGAAAAGCGUCGGUAAGGUGAUAUGAACCGUUACAGCCGGCGAUGUCCGAAUGGGGAAACCCAGUGUGAUUCGUCACACUAUCGUUAACUGAAUACAUAGGUUAACGAGGCGAACCGGGGGAACUGAAACAUCUAAGUACCCCGAGGAAAAGAAAUCAACCGAGAUUCCCCCAGUAGCGGCGAGCGAACGGGGAGCAGCCCAGAGUCUGAAUCAGCUUGUGUGUUAGUGGAACGGUCUGGAAAGUCCGACGGUACAGGGUGAUAGUCCCGUACACCAAAAUGCACAGGCUGUGAACUCGAAGAGUAGGGCGGGACACGUGGUAUCCUGUCUGAAUAUGGGGGGACCAUCCUCCAAGGCUAAAUACUCCUGACUGACCGAUAGUGAACCAGUACCGUGAGGGAAAGGCGAAAAGAACCCCGGCGAGGGGAGUGAAAAAGAACCUGAAACCGUGUACGUACAAGCAGUGGGAGCACCUUUAUGGUGUGACUGCGUACCUUUUGUAUAAUGGGUCAGCGACUUAUAUUCUGUAGCAAGGUUAACCGUAUAGGGGAGCCGCAGGGAAACCGAGUCUUAACUGGGCGUUAAGUUGCAGGGUAUAGACCCGAAACCCGGUGAUCUAGCCAUGGGCAGGUUGAAGGUUGGGUAACACUAACUGGAGGACCGAACCGACUAAUGUUGAAAAAUUAGCGGAUGACUUGUGGCUGGGGGUGAAAGGCCAAUCAAACCGGGAGAUAGCUGGUUCUCCCCGAAAGCUAUUUAGGUAGCGCCUCGUGAAUUCAUCUUCGGGGGUAGAGCACUGUUUCGGCUAGGGGGUCAUCCCGACUUACCAACCCGAUGCAAACUACGAAUACCGAAGAAUGUUAUCACGGGAGACACACGGCGGGUGCUAACGUCCGUCGUGAAGAGGGAAACAACCCAGACCGCCAGCUAAGGUCCCAAAGUCACAGUUAAGUGGGAAACGAUGUGGGAAGGCACAGACAGCCAGGAUGUUGGCUUAGAAGCAGCCAUCAUUUAAAGAAAGCGUAAUAGCUCACUGGUCGAGUCGGCCUGCGCGGAAGAUGUAACGGGGCUAAACUGUGCACCGAAGCUGCGGCAACGACACUAUGUGUUGUUGGGUAGGGGAGCGUUCUGUAAGCCUGCGAAGGUGGCCUGUGAGGGUUGCUGGAGGUAUCAGAAGUGCGAAUGCUGACAUAAGUAACGAUAAUGCGGGUGAAAAGCCCGCACGCCGGAAGACCAAGGGUUCCUGUCCAACGUUAAUCGGGGCAGGGUGAGUCGACCCCUAAGGCGAGGCCGAAAGGCGUAGUCGAUGGGAAACAGGUUAAUAUUCCUGUACUUGGUGUUACUGCGAAGGGGGGACGGAGAAGGCUAUGUUAGCCGGGCGACGGUUGUCCCGGUUUAAGCAUGUAGGCGGAGGUUCCAGGUAAAUCCGGUACCUUUUAACGCUGAGGUGUGAUGACGAGGCACUACGGUGCUGAAGUAACAAAUGCCCUGCUUCCAGGAAAAGCCUCUAAGCAUCAGGUAACAUUGAAUCGUACCCCAAACCGACACAGGUGGUCAGGUAGAGAAUACCAAGGCGCUUGAGAGAACUCGGGUGAAGGAACUAGGCAAAAUGGUGCCGUAACUUCGGGAGAAGGCACGCUGAUAUGUAGGUGAAGCCCCUGCGGGUGGAGCUGAAAUCAGUCGAAGAUACCAGCUGGCUGCAACUGUUUAUUAAAAACACAGCACUGUGCAAACACGAAAGUGGACGUAUACGGUGUGACGCCUGCCCGGUGCCGGAAGGUUAAUUGAUGGGGUUAUCCGUAAGGAGAAGCUCUUGAUCGAAGCCCCGGUAAACGGCGGCCGUAACUAUAACGGUCCUAAGGUAGCGAAAUUCCUUGUCGGGUAAGUUCCGACCUGCACGAAUGGCGUAAUGAUGGCCAGGCUGUCUCCACCCGAGACUCAGUGAAAUUGAACUCGCUGUGAAGAUGCAGUGUACCCGCGGCAAGACGGAAAGACCCCGUGAACCUUUACUAUAGCUUGACACUGAACAUUGAGCCUUGAUGUGUAGGAUAGGUGGGAGGCUUUGAAGCGUGGACGCCAGUCUGCGUGGAGCCAACCUUGAAAUACCACCCUUUAAUGUUUGAUGUUCUAACGUUGGCCCCUGACCGGGGUUGCGGACAGUGUCUGGUGGGUAGUUUGACUGGGGCGGUCUCCUCCCAAAGAGUAACGGAGGAGCACGAAGGUUAGCUAAUCCUGGUCGGACAUCAGGAGGUUAGUGCAAUGGCAUAAGCUAGCUUGACUGCGAGCGUGACGGCGCGAGCAGGUGCGAAAGCAGGUCAUAGUGAUCCGGUGGUUCUGAAUGGAAGGGCCAUCGCUCAACGGAUAAAAGGUACUCCGGGGAUAACAGGCUGAUACCGCCCAAGAGUUCAUAUCGACGGCGGUGUUUGGCACCUCGAUGUCGGCUCAUCACAUCCUGGGGCUGAAGUAGGUCCCAAGGGUAUGGCUGUUCGCCAUUUAAAGUGGUACGCGAGCUGGGUUUAGAACGUCGUGAGACAGUUCGGUCCCUAUCUGCCGUGGGCGCUGGAGAAUUGAGGGGGGCUGCUCCUAGUACGAGAGGACCGGAGUGGACGCAUCACUGGUGUUCGGGUUGUCAUGCCAAUGGCAUUGCCCGGUAGCUAAAUGCGGAAGAGAUAAGUGCUGAAAGCAUCUAAGCACGAAACUUGCCCCGAGAUGAGUUCUCCCUGAGACUUUAAGUCUCCUGAAGGAACGUUAAAGACGAUGACGUUGAUAGGUCGGGUGUGUAAGCGUAGCGAUACGUUGAGCUAACCGAUACUAAUGAACCGUGAGGCUUAACCUU